This 253-nucleotide ribosomal RNA is filed under the name uncultured bacterium. Its description in RNAcentral is "partial 16S ribosomal RNA". It matches the Rfam family "Bacterial small subunit ribosomal RNA", at positions 524 to 776 of the family's 1533-position model. The record is from RNAcentral.
UACGAAGGGGGCUAGCGUUGUUCGGAAUCACUGGGCGUAAAGCGCACGUAGGCGGAUCUUUAAGUCAGGGGUGAAAUCCCGAGGCUCAACCUCGGAACUGCCUUUGAUACUGGGGAUCUCGAGUCCGGGAGAGGUGAGUGGAACUGCGAGUGUAGAGGUGAAAUUCGUAGAUAUUCGGAAGAACACCAGUGGCGAAGGCGACUCACUGGACACAUAUUGACGCUGAGGUGCGAAAGCGUGGGGAGCAAACAGG